Molecule: ribosomal RNA, 1372 nt
Filed under: uncultured bacterium
Lineage: Bacteria
Description: bacterial SSU rRNA
Rfam family: Bacterial small subunit ribosomal RNA
Source: RNAcentral
GAUGAACGCUGGCGGCGUGCCUAAUACAUGCAAGUCGAGCGAACGGACGAGAAGCUUGCUUCUCUGAUGUUGGCGGCGGACGGGUGAGUAACACGUGGAUAACCUACCUAUAAGACUGGGAUAACUUCGGGAAACCGGAGCUAAUACCGGAUAAUAUUUUGAACCGCAUGGUUCAAAAGUGAAAGACGGUCUUGCUGUCACUUAUAGAUGGAUCCGCGCUGCAUUAGCUAGUUGGUAAGGUAACGGCUUACCAAGGCAACGAUGCAUAGCCGACCUGAGAGGGUGAUCGGCCACACUGGAACUGAGACACGGUCCAGACUCCUACGGGAGGCAGCAGUAGGGAAUCUUCCGCAAUGGGCGAAAGCCUGACGGAGCAAUGCCGCGUGAGCGAUGAAGGUCUUCGGAUCGUAAAACUCUGUUAUUAGGGAAGAACAUAUGUGUAAGUAACUGUGCACAUCUUGACGGUACCUAAUCAGAAAGCCACGACUAACUACGUGCCAGCAGCCGCGGUAAUACGUAGGUGGCAAGCGUUAUCCGGAAUUAUUGGGCGUAAAGCGCGCGCAGGCGGUUUUUUAAGUCUGAUGUGAAAGCCCACGGCUCAACCGUGGAGGGUCAUUGGAAACUGGAAAACUUGAGUGCAGAAGAGGAAAGUGGAAUUCCAUGUGUAGCGGUGAAAUGCGCAGAGAUAUGGAGGAACACCAGUGGCGAAGGCGACUUUCUGGUCUGUAACUGACGCUGAUGUGCGAAAGCGUGGGGAUCAAACAGGAUUAGAUACCCUGGUAGUCCACGCCGUAAACGAUGAGUGCUAAGUGUUAGGGGGUUUCCGCCCCUUAGUGCUGCAGCUAACGCAUUAAGCACUCCGCCUGGGGAGUACGACCGCAAGGUUGAAACUCAAAGGAAUUGACGGGGACCCGCACAAGCGGUGGAGCAUGUGGUUUAAUUCGAAGCAACGCGAAGAACCUUACCAAAUCUUGACAUCCUUUGACAACUCUAGAGAUAGAGCUUUCCCCUUCGGGGGACAAAGUGACAGGUGGUGCAUGGUUGUCGUCAGCUCGUGUCGUGAGAUGUUGGGUUAAGUCCCGCAACGAGCGCAACCCUUAAGCUUAGUUGCCAUCAUUAAGUUGGGCACUCUAAGUUGACUGCCGGUGACAAACCGGAGGAAGGUGGGGAUGACGUCAAAUCAUCAUGCCCCUUAUGAUUUGGGCUACACACGUGCUACAAUGGACAAUACAAAGGGCAGCGAAACCGUGAGGUCAAGCAAAUCCCAUAAAGUUGUUCUCAGUUCGGAUUGUAGUCUGCAACUCGACUACAUGAAGCUGGAAUCGCUAGUAAUCGUAGAUCAGCAUGCUACGGUGAAUACGUUCCCGGGUCU